GCAUUGGUGGCAUGAAGGUUAAGCACUUGGCUACUAACUGGGAGGUUGGUGGUUUGAACCCACCCCGUGGCU
This 72-nucleotide transfer RNA is filed under the name Loxodonta africana (African savanna elephant). It matches the Rfam family "tRNA". Rfam says of the family: Transfer RNA (tRNA) molecules are approximately 80 nucleotides in length. Their secondary structure includes four short double-helical elements and three loops (D, anti-codon, and T loops). The record is from Rfam by way of RNAcentral. Lineage: Eukaryota; Metazoa; Chordata; Mammalia; Proboscidea; Elephantidae.